ACAAGCGCGAUGAAAAGUCUAGUACCUAUGAACUGGAUUUCAGAGAGGCGAUGGAUGGUGUGAAUCGCCACCAGGAGUAGCGAAUCCAACUUGGAGCGGAGCGGUGAGGUCGAUUGGAGACCAGAACGCAUACGGGAGCGAGCCGUUAUUGCGCAAGCGAGUGGAUCGAUGAUCAGUCGAUCAACAAGGGUGGUAUCGCGGAAACCUUCCGUCCCUUAG
This 219-nucleotide non-coding RNA is filed under the name Seinonella peptonophila. RNAcentral's name for it is "T-box sequence". It matches the Rfam family "T-box leader". Rfam says of the family: Uncharged tRNA acts as the effector for transcription antitermination of genes in the T-box leader family. The record is from RNAcentral. Lineage: Bacteria; Bacillati; Bacillota; Bacilli; Caryophanales; Thermoactinomycetaceae.